AGUGAACGCUGGCGGUAGGCCUAACACAUGCAAGUCGAACGGCAGCACAGGAGAGCUUGCUCUCUGGGUGGCGAGUGGCGGACGGGUGAGGAAUACAUCGGAAUCUACUCUGUCGUGGGGGAUAACGUAGGGAAACUUACGCUAAUACCGCAUACGACCUACGGGUGAAAGCAGGGGACCUUCGGGCCUUGCGCGAUUGAAUGAGCCGAUGUCGGAUUAGCUAGUUGGCGGGGUAAAGGCCCACCAAGGCGACGAUCCGUAGCUGGUCUGAGAGGAUGAUCAGCCACACUGGAACUGGGACGCGGGCCAGACUCCUACGGGAGGCAGCAGUGGGGAAUAUUGGACGAUGGGCGCAAGCCUGUUCCAGCCAUACCGCGUGGGUGAAGAAGGCCUUCGGGUUGUAAAGCCCUUUUGUUGGGAAAGAAAUCCAGCUGGCUAAUACCCGGUUGGGAUGACGGUACCCAAAGAAUAAGCACCGGCUAACUUCGUGCCAGCCGCCGCCGUAA
RNAcentral lists this ribosomal RNA (506 nucleotides) under uncultured bacterium. RNAcentral describes it as "partial 16S ribosomal RNA". It matches the Rfam family "Bacterial small subunit ribosomal RNA", at positions 29 to 523 of the family's 1533-position model. The record is from RNAcentral.